Podospora didyma is the source of this 79-nucleotide non-coding RNA. The record is from the annotation of a GenBank genome assembly. NCBI's taxonomy places the organism in Eukaryota, Fungi, Ascomycota, Sordariomycetes, Sordariales, Podosporaceae.
GCGACGUUAGUGUAAUGGUUAUCAUCUGCGCUUCCCAUCAUGUUUGCGCAGGAUUCGAGUUCGAUUCUCGAACGUCGCA